This 100-nucleotide non-coding RNA is filed under the name Bradyrhizobium sp. ORS 285. Its description in RNAcentral is "TPP". It matches the Rfam family "TPP riboswitch aptamer (THI element)", at positions 1 to 93 of the family's 105-position model. Rfam says of the family: Vitamin B(1) in its active form thiamin pyrophosphate (TPP) is an essential coenzyme that is synthesised by coupling of pyrimidine and thiazole moieties in bacteria. The previously detected thiamin-regulatory element, thi box was extended, resulting in a new, highly conserved RNA secondary structure, the THI element, which is widely distributed in eubacteria and also occurs in some archaea. RNAcentral also lists the same sequence under 1 other name. Lineage: Bacteria; Pseudomonadati; Pseudomonadota; Alphaproteobacteria; Hyphomicrobiales; Nitrobacteraceae. The record is from RNAcentral.
GCGCGUUCCGAGGGGAGCUCCGAGGGGGAGCUGAGAUACCGCAGCGUGAAUGCGGUGACCCUUUGAACCUGAUCCGGGUCAUGCCGGCGAAGGGACAGGG